AUCCGUAUUUAUAUGUAGUCUUCCUGGGACAUCUUCCCAAUUCCGCCUGCCCCUGCGGCUUUUGCUCGGUCAAGUGCAAGUGGCAAUUUAAAGAAUCGGAUGAGGUGGAGCCUGUUGGAACGAUGAAUCGGGUGUCCCAAUGUUGGCGCCCCCAUAUGCGCAUAAUUUCGAUGGAGUGCUGAAGAAAGUUUGCCGGCUCCUCGGCAUCGUUUCAUGUAGUUGAGCUUGUUGUUGGCCGGUAAGUGAAAUGAAAAGUGCAUAAAUCUGCCGAUCUGGCAGCGAAGUGCAGCGUAAAAAGCGGGGCGAUAAGAAUCGAAUCGAAGCUGUUUUUUUUUAUAUUAUUUUUUGUUUUUUUCUUUUUUUGGUUGGUUAAACGCAAGACAAAAGAACUUUCGCUUUCGUUGCGGUCUUUUUUCGGCCAGGUAAAAGUGGCCAGUGACUUGGUGCAUUAUUUAACCAAAUUUGGCCAUUGAAUGCAACCGGUCGAGAGUAGGUGCCCAAGCAACGCGAUAUAACAAUUAUGUGCGUUUAAUGAGCAGCGGGAGCAGAUCGAUCGAUCGGUGGGCUUGGAGAAGAAGCAGAAGGAGUUGCCGAUCAUGCUGCUGACGGAUGAGAUUGAUUGCAUAAGUGCAUAAGGAAAAACUGUCUGCCGGUUGCAACAUUGUCACCCGCUCCCGUGCCGCUUUUCAACUGCAGCUCCACCGCGUUGCAAUGCCGUUGCCGCCCCUACCUCCCAUGAUGAAGUGUGGAAACGGCAACAACAACAGCCACCACUCGGUACACUUAAUUGACAAGUGUGAAACUUUCGAUUUCUAUACACCCAUUGACAUACAAAACGAGCCAACCAAAGUCACACAGGAAGAAAAUAUAGAUCAGUGAUCGAUUAAUCAGUAAUUUCUAAUCCAAAUGUCAUGCUAAGGAAUAGCAAGCUUAAAGAUUUUCUUCCUGUGGAAUCUAAUGAUGCCGCCUGCUAUGAUUUGUUAUGUCUAAAUGUCACAAUUCUUCCAAGUGAUGGCGGAUCCCGGGCGGACAGGACAGGGCAGGAGGGCGGUCCGAGGAGGUGUUGGGUGCGCCUGGCCAGAUUCGAGUGAAGUGAAGUUUGAAGUUUGGAAUUGGUAGAGUGCGGGAAUACUUGGAGUACUCCGAACUUGCUAUCACUAUCGGCAGCUGAUGGCUCCGGCGAUAAUUGGC
Long non-coding RNA from Drosophila eugracilis, 1191 nucleotides. RefSeq lists it as uncharacterized. The record is from RefSeq and is a predicted model, not a curated record. Lineage: Eukaryota; Metazoa; Arthropoda; Insecta; Diptera; Drosophilidae. The transcript is spliced from 3 exons.